GACGAACGCUGGCGGCGUGCCUAAUACAUGCAAGUCGAACGAGGUCUUCGGACCUAGUGGCGAACGGGUGAGUAACACGUUGGUACCUACCCCGCAGUGGGGAAUAACUGCCCGAAAGGGUGGCUAAUACCGCAUCAUAACGCAAGGUUAAAGCGGUAAUGCGCUUCGGGUGGGGCCUGCGUCCCAUUAGCUAGUUGGUAGGGUAAUGGCCUACCAAGGCGACGAUGGGUAGCUGGAUCGAGAGGUUGACCAGCCACACUGGGACUGAGAUACGGCCCAUACUCCUACGGGAGGCAGCAGUAAGGAAUCUUCCACAAUGGACGAAAGUCUGAUGGAGCAACGCCGCGUGCAGGAUGACGGCCUUCGGGUUGUAAACUGCUUUUAUACGGGAAGAUUGUGACGGUACCGUAUGAAUAAGGACCGGCUAACUACGUGCCAGCCGCCGCCGUAA
RNAcentral lists this ribosomal RNA (451 nucleotides) under uncultured bacterium. RNAcentral's name for it is "partial 16S ribosomal RNA". It matches the Rfam family "Bacterial small subunit ribosomal RNA", at positions 28 to 523 of the family's 1533-position model. The record is from RNAcentral.